UUAACUAGGUCACCAAAACUUAGGCAAAAACCUACUAACUUAAGGCUAGGGAAGUGCUAUUUGUCUAACUUUAGGCUAUGAGAUGUGCACACUGGGGAGCGUGAGCAAAUCCACACAGGGAAGGGCAGGAAUCUGGACCAGCACAUGGAACAGGUACGGCGUGUGCUGUUCCUUCUUCUUUGUUGUCCGCUGGACCUGGGGAUGGCACUGCUUCAUCGCAAUUCGAGGUUAGUAACUUGUCAUUGCUGCUGGUGAGAUCUGCUGUGACGUGUUCUUUGGCACGGUGUGCUGAAGGCACCGGGGCAGGCAGACUUCCCCCUCUUGCUUCAGUUGCCUGGUUUAAGUUAUUAGAGCUCACUUGUCCUCCGUGUUCUUGAAAGAUCCUGUUCUGUCCUGUCACCUCUGAAGACACCACGCUUGAAAUUGGAUUGGAUAAAUCUUCAGCGCUGUAGCUACUGGUGCCUUCAUUACUGAUGCUGCCAACAAUGGAAAUGUUAAUUUGUUUCAUGUCAAUAAAGAAGCAAAGAAUAUGAAGCAAAGAAUAAAAACAAUUCAUGCCAUUGAUGUUUCAAAGCCAUGCAGUACAUGCACUGAGAAGCUGACAAUGUGCUUUCAGGAGCUAAACCAUCAGACACAUGCUACAGUGGUUUAAAUGCUCAUUAUUUUGGAAUCUACAUUAUUUGUGUGAUCUACAGUAACUGCUGUUAUCUGGCAAUACUUCUGUUGUGUAGCAGAAGAUUAAGAAGGGCCCAUCUGUUGAAUGUUUUCUCCAGCUAAUCAGCACAGUUGGUUCUCCCCGAAAGGUGAAAGGUCUCACCCUGCCAAAUGAUGUUGCCAUACAAUAACACACACCCUACGAGGUCAUUUUAUUGCUUUAUUGUUUGAUUUCAGUGCAUAUAAGCUAUAACCAUUUGCAUGAUCUCUCUCCCCACCCACUGAAGAUUAGAUAGAAGUAGAGAUGAUGUGUGUGCACUAACUGCAGAGAAGGAGAAGUUAUUUUUAAUACUUUUCAUGUGCACUGUGUGGCCCUCAGUUUUCACAGCCAGGUUUGUAGGUGAUAAAAUAGUUUAACCUUGUUCUCUCCCUCACCUCCCUGGGCAUAUUUUCACUGCCUUAGAUAACAUGGAGCGAAAUAUCAGUUCAAAACUGAAUGCAAAAUUGUACCUAGGAGAAAGGGGCAUAGUUUACUUGACAAGGAAUUCCAAAGCAAGAUCCAAGAAGCAUCUGUCCCCUUCUCUGCCCAAGUUUUACACACAAAACACUUGAUGGAGGAGUGAGCCAGUGCCCAGAUGUCAGGUCCCUGCAGCUCAGGUCUGUCUUAGAUCCUAAAAACCUCCUUCAGAGUCAUUACAAUGGAAAAUCAUAGAACCAUAGAACAGUUUGGGUUGGAAGGGACCUUCAAAGCUCCCCAAGUGCCACCCCUGCCAUGAGCAGGGACAGCUUCACCAGCUCAGGUUGCUCAGAGCCCCGUCCAGCCUGGCCUGGGAUGUCUCCAGGGAUGGUUCAUCCACCACCUCUCUGGGAAACCUGGGCCAGUGUUUUACCACCCUCAUCAUAAAAAAUUUCCUAGUCCUUAAAGAGCUAUUGAAAUUUGCCUAUAUUUGGGUUAAGCCUUAAAUUCAAGGUAAAAUAUCCAUACUAUACUAUUAAUUUACAGUUUAAACAAAUUUUAGCAAUCCUUGGCAUCAGUUUGUACAUUUAAUCUAUAACACCAAUACAUUUUAUUUAAACUUUUAAAAAUUAUUUUGCCCCCUUUUUUUUUCAAUUUGAUUUUCCUAGCAUAUGAUAGACACCUAUCCAUACAAAUCUUACUGACACUGGGAACAACAAGAGUGGCAACGCAAUAUCUGGUGUUUGCUGGAUCACUGACAACAGGAGGUAUGAUGGGACAUGAACAAACAACGAGGAGAUGCCAAGGGACAUGAACAAACAAUGAGGAGAUGCAAGAGGCUUCCCCUAAGGAGGGAAUAGACUUUAUCAUUUGACAUUAACUUUGCACUCAGGGACUCUUAAUUAGAGAAGAAGGGGCAGAAACCACAACACUGAGUUGGGGAGGGAAAAGUGGGAGUCAAUUGCCAUUCCAGCUUUUUGUUUGUGCUGCAGGUUUAUCUUCCUACAGAUUAAUUUGCUCUUUAGCGGUUGUGUGCAUGGGGUUCUUCAACCUGGAAGCAAUGCUGCUGUCAGACACAUGGCGUUCAGGGCGAGAAUAAAGGUGAGUGCAGGUUGGGGGAGGUGAAGUCCUCUGACCUUUGUGAAACCGAGUGUUAGAAAAAGUGGAAACCACCACCUACAAUGACAGUUUCUCCUUAUCGCUUAUCUUUAACCUACAAUUCUUUACUUGCCAAGCCCAUCCGAGUGAGAAAAAGUAUGGUAAUAAACGUGGGAUUGAAACAUUGUUAAUGUUCACCACAGAGGCAAUACAUCAUUAUAUUUUUGCAUUUUGCACCUUUGAGCUGACUGAAAUUUCUCUAAGAUAUUUACAGAUGUUACUUCUUUGUUACAUUAGAUUUCUAUUUGCAACUAUUAAAUAUGAAACAGUUCCAAA
Columba livia (rock pigeon) is the source of this 2545-nucleotide long non-coding RNA. RefSeq lists it as uncharacterized. The transcript has 2 exons. The record is from RefSeq and is a predicted model, not a curated record. NCBI's taxonomy places the organism in Eukaryota, Metazoa, Chordata, Aves, Columbiformes, Columbidae.